RNAcentral lists this ribosomal RNA (617 nucleotides) under uncultured bacterium. RNAcentral's name for it is "bacterial SSU rRNA". It matches the Rfam family "Bacterial small subunit ribosomal RNA", at positions 338 to 951 of the family's 1533-position model. The record is from RNAcentral.
CCUACGGGAGGCAGCAGUGGGGAAUUUUGGACAAUGGGCGAAAGCCUGAUCCAGCCAUUCCGCGUGCAGGACGAAGGCCUUCGGGUUGUAAACUGCUUUUGUACGGAACGAAAAGGUUUCAGCUAAUACCUGGGACUCAUGACGGUACCGUAAGAAUAAGCACCGGCUAACUACGUGCCAGCAGCCGCGGUAAUACGUAGGGUGCGAGCGUUAAUCGGAAUUACUGGGCGUAAAGCGUGCGCAGGCGGUCUUGUAAGACAGAUGUGAAAUCCCCGGGCUCAACCUGGGAACUGCAUUUGUGACUGCAAGGCUAGAGUGCGGCAGAGGGGGAUGGAAUUCCGCGUGUAGCAGUGAAAUGCGUAGAUAUGCGGAGGAACACCGAUGGCGAAGGCAAUCCCCUGGGCCUGCACUGACGCUCAUGCACGAAAGCGUGGGGAGCAAACAGGAUUAGAUACCCUGGUAGUCCACGCCCUAAACGGUGUCAACUGGUUNUUGGGUCUUCACUGACUCAGUAACGAAGCUAACGCGUGAAGUUGACCGCCUGGGGAUACGGCCGCAAGGUUGAAACUCAAAGGAAUUGACGGCNGAGAGNGACGAGACGACGACGAGGGAGGAGG